This 1170-nucleotide long non-coding RNA is filed under the name Oryctolagus cuniculus (rabbit). RNAcentral describes it as "lncRNA (ENSOCUG00000030002.1)". Lineage: Eukaryota; Metazoa; Chordata; Mammalia; Lagomorpha; Leporidae. The record is from RNAcentral.
AUGUCCACUGGGGAGGGCCACACGGCGGGAACAGAGACAAGUACCCGGCACACACAGCGGCUGUGUCCACUGGGGAGGGGUACACCAGGAAGGCGGGGACAGAGGCCUCAAGUACCCAGCACGCACAGUGGUCGUGUCCACUGGGUAGGGCCACAUGGUGGGGACAGAGGCCUCAAGUACCCAGCAUGCACAGCAGCUAUGUCCACUGGGGAGGGCCACACCAGGAAGGCGGGGACGAGAGGCCUCAAGUACCCAGCAUGCACAGGGGCCAUGUCUACUGGGGAGGGCCACACGGUGGGGACAGAGGCUUCAUGUAGCAAUAGGGAUUCACAGGUUCCCUUGAGUUGGCCCCGGUGGCUGCACCACCCCAGAAGAUGGAGCGGUGGGGGGGGAGAUGGGGAGGGCAGAGGGGAGGGGAGGGAGAGAGACCAUCGAUCCUAUCUGCUAGUUCACCCCCCAAAGGCCAACAGAGGCUGGGCCACAGCUACAAGCUGGCUGCUAAGUCCCGCCUCCCACACGGACAGGAAUCCGAGGACCUCCCGCAGGUCCCAGGUCUGCAGCCGAUGGACUCCCACCACGCCCUCUAGGGUGCUGACUGGACCAGUGCCUCCACUGGGCUCAGCGGCCUGCCUUCACACUUUCACAGACAGACCACACCCUAGGCUGACUGCACUCCAGCGAGAACGCAGCUAUGUGCUAAUGAACCAAAACGUCAUGCGCCUGGACGGAUGGCGGUACUCCCCUCUGGCCGAGGAGCGCUUGCCCCCGGCAUACCGUCCCGAGUUCAGACCCAGAGUCCUGGGACGUCAUGUCUUCCCCAGCAAGGGCCAACAGCGGGCCUGUCAGCUGCUCCCAGGUACUGAGUCCCACGAUCAGCCCUGGUUAGUGGCCAGAGACUUCGCCAGCUGGGCGAUAGGUCUGGCAUUCCUGGGAUCCCUACAGAGAUACUUUGUUAACUUCCACAGAUAUGCUUCUCCCGCGAAAGGCUACCCAAGAGGGGUUCUAGAACAUCCCCAGUCCAGGGGAUGGGCUAUCAGUCUGCAGAAGGCCCGGGCCUGGGAUACUGCGAGUAAAAUUCCUGGAUGGGGCCUGGGUGGGGCCAGCUCAGGUUUUGCCAAGAGCCGUGACGAACGAGACACAGGCAGGACCACGGCCCCAGCAGUCCACUAG